UACGGAGGAUCCAAGCGUUAUCCGGAAUCAUUGGGUUUAAAGGGUCCGUAGGCGGUUUGGUAAGUCAGUGGUGAAAGCCCAUCGCUCAACGGUGGAACGGCCAUUGAUACUGCCAGACUUGAAUUAUUAGGAAGUAACUAGAAUAUGUAGUGUAGCGGUGAAAUGCUUAGAGAUUACGAUGGAAUACCAAUUGCGAAGGCAGGUUACUACUAAUGAUUGACGCUGAUGGACGAAAGCGUGGGUAGCGAACAGG
This 253-nucleotide ribosomal RNA is filed under the name uncultured bacterium. Its description in RNAcentral is "partial 16S ribosomal RNA". It matches the Rfam family "Bacterial small subunit ribosomal RNA", at positions 524 to 776 of the family's 1533-position model. The record is from RNAcentral.